This is a small nuclear RNA of Suricata suricatta (meerkat), 107 nucleotides long. The record is from Ensembl. Lineage: Eukaryota; Metazoa; Chordata; Mammalia; Carnivora; Herpestidae.
GUGCACGCUUUGGCAACACAUACACUAAAAUUGGAAUGAUACAGGGAAGAUUAGUAUGGCCCUUGUGCAAGGAUGACAUGCAAAUUCACGAAGCGUUCCGUAUUUUU